AUUGAACGCUGGCGGCGUGCUUAACACAUGCAAGUCGAUCGGUAACGCGGGGGCAACCCUGGCGACGAGAGGCGGACGGGUGAGGAACGCUUGGGAAUCUGCCUAUCAGCGGGGGACAACCCGGGGAAACUCGGGCUAAUACCGCAUACGCUCUACGGAGGAAAGCCGGGGACCGCAAGGCCUGGCACUGAUAGAUGAGCCCAAGUCGGAUUAGCUAGUUGGCGGGGUAACGGCCCACCAAGGCGACGAUCCGUAGCUGGUCUGAGAGGACGAUCAGCCACACUGGGACUGAGACACGGCCCAGACUCCUACGGGAGGCAGCAGUGGGGAAGAUUGGACAAUGGGGGAAACCCUGAUUCAGCGACGCCGCGUGGGUGAAGAAGGCCUGCGGGUUGUAAAGCCCUUUCGGUAGGGACGAAAGCUCUCGACCUAACACGUCGGGAGGUUGACUUAACCUACAAAAGAAGCACCGGCUAACUCUGUGCCAGCCGCCGCCGUAA
This 500-nucleotide ribosomal RNA is filed under the name uncultured bacterium. Its description in RNAcentral is "partial 16S ribosomal RNA". It matches the Rfam family "Bacterial small subunit ribosomal RNA", at positions 29 to 523 of the family's 1533-position model. The record is from RNAcentral.